Peromyscus leucopus (white-footed mouse) is the source of this 1932-nucleotide long non-coding RNA. RefSeq lists it as uncharacterized. NCBI's taxonomy places the organism in Eukaryota, Metazoa, Chordata, Mammalia, Rodentia, Cricetidae. The record is from RefSeq and is a predicted model, not a curated record. The transcript is spliced from 3 exons.
GGAUCACCAGCCCAGGGAUGGCACCUCUCACCAUGGACUGGGCCUUCUCCCAUUGGUCACUAAAUGAGAAUAUGCCCUACAGCUGGAUCUCAAGAAGGCUCCUUCCUCUGAUGACUCUAGCUGGUGUUAAGUUGACAAUACAAAGAUGACAACUAACAGAUUGCUACUGCAUGGAGACAAAGACGGAGGCAGAGUUAGCCUGUCCCCAGAGUCGCCCCGAGUGCUGAAGCCGUCUUUUGGUCAAGGCCAGCAGUGCAUGUGCAAAAUCUUUCUUGAGUUGAGAAUGGCCCUGUUAUAUAGUGAAGUGAAUCCCUGGCUGCAACAACAAGGAAGCCAAACAGGAACACAGAAGAAGGGGUAAAGCCAGAGACUCUUCAGGAGCUGGAACUGAACCUUGCGCUUGUCCUGAGUCUUUGUUCUGAGCUGCUACACUAAGUUGGCCAGAAUAAGAAGAAUUAACAGGAUAGUGGAUACCCCAGCAAACUAUUUUCAAACUCAAUAAGACCCAGCGAACACAAAGUGCUACCAUAUAGCCACAGAAGUGAUGGGGAGGAGAAGAGGCGGUGCUCAGCGUGGUACCAACACGCUGCUCUCAUCCACACACACGCAGGCCAGAGGCAUCUGACUCCACAAUGUGACCAGCUACCUCAUGCUCUCACCUCCAGUUCUGCUCUGUCAUAAUGAACGAUGUCUUCAAACUGUCAAUCACUAUAAACCCCUCCUUCCUCAAGUUGCUCUUGUCAGCCACAGCAACAAGAAAAGCAGAGACUGCAGCCGGCAUCCAUCUCUUCACACCAUUUUGGUAUGCUCUGGGUGUGGGUUGGACACGGAGGCCAAUGCUGACCUUGAACAGCACCAUGGCCACGUUUUAGACAUUGUGUAACAGAAGUGUCACACAUUGUUUGGGCAGAGGCUUCCCAGGGCCUUAGGAGACUUUCUCUUUGGGAGAGUGAGUUCAGCCUGCUUCCCAGGAAUUGAGGGUCUGUUUGUGCUCACAGCACUACAUUGCAGACUCCACACCUGUUGGGUGCCCACAUAGCAUCCGUGAGGACUGAGAAGGCUGGGGUAGGGGUCCCUUUGAGAAGCUCAUGGCUAUGGUGGCUGCAGGAGGAGAAGGUACAUUGUGAACCCAAGAGUGGGGUGUUCUUGAGGUCACUGUUUUUUAGCACAUGCUUUAUCAGCGUAGCUUUGUUUUCUUCUAUCCACUGUCAUUAGGGUUGUGGCAGCGUCCAUUCUAUGAAAUGCUUCUGGUUAGUGCUGGCAUCAACCACACCAUCUGUCAUGAUUCCAGAUGCACAAGGUCACUGCGGGCAGCCAAAAGCUGAGAAAUGGAGGGCCAGAGAACACAGAAAUAAAUGCACCCAGCAGUGUCAGCUCACUUCCACUGGCUGGGUCUGUGGAAGUACAGGCAGCCUCGUCUCUCAGCCUGUGUGACCCACACAGCAGAAUGGGUGACCACUGCUGUUAGGCGUUUCUCCUGUGUUGACUGGGGCUUCGAGCUCAGCUACGUCCAGUCCUACGAUAAGUCAGGUGAGCUGCUGACCACUGCAGCCUGACAGUGGAUGCCUCCCACAGCAGUUAUUCCAGUACGAAAGAAACAAAGCACCAGACUGUGGGUGAGGGAAGUAGAACUGACUGGCUUCUGUCUGGCUUGAUUGGGUUCUUGAUAGUGCCUCAUAUACACCUUGUAAUUUGUAAAGCCUGUUAGUAUAUUUCAUUUGUUUCUCUGAAAAUUUACAGAGAGUAUUAAAAAAAUUGUUAAUAAUGAUAUCCUUUAAAGAGAAAGGGUAUGGGGACUUUUACAUGGAACUUAAAUUUUUAUUUUUCCAAUUCCAAAUUCCAAAGGUUUAAGAAUACACGUGGAGAAAGAAGAAUAAAGAAAACGGGGCAGAGACUGGAGAGAUGCUCAGCAGUUUUGAGCACUACCCGCUC